UUCAUGGAGAGUUUGAUCCUGGCUCAGGACGAACGCUGGCGGCGUGCCUAAUACAUGCAAGUCGAGCGAACCGGCGGGAGCUUGCUCCCUUAGGUUAGCGGCGGACG
This 107-nucleotide ribosomal RNA is filed under the name Bacillus sonorensis. Its description in RNAcentral is "partial 16S ribosomal RNA". It matches the Rfam family "Bacterial small subunit ribosomal RNA", at positions 1 to 104 of the family's 1533-position model. Lineage: Bacteria; Bacillati; Bacillota; Bacilli; Caryophanales; Bacillaceae. The record is from RNAcentral.